Sorex fumeus (smoky shrew) is the source of this 163-nucleotide small nuclear RNA. RefSeq annotates it as U1 spliceosomal RNA. The transcript has a single exon. Lineage: Eukaryota; Metazoa; Chordata; Mammalia; Eulipotyphla; Soricidae. The record is from RefSeq and is a predicted model, not a curated record.
UGACACCUGGCAGGGCAGAUACCAUGAUCACAAAGGUGCUUUUGCUAGGGUGAUUGCUUAUCCAUUACACUCUGGAUGUGCUAAUUUAUGCAGUUUAUUCAAAUGUGGAAAACUUGACUGCAUAACUUGUUGCAGUAAUAGACCGGUUCAAACUAUCCUCUGA